Molecule: long non-coding RNA, 4284 nt
Organism: Mustela erminea (ermine)
Lineage: Eukaryota; Metazoa; Chordata; Mammalia; Carnivora; Mustelidae
Exons: 4
Source: RefSeq, a predicted model, not a curated record
CCCCAGAAUCAGAGUGAUGGAUAACACAUGUACAAAUGUAUACACAUCAUCUGCUCCUGCACAUAGAUGCCCGGAGUGCACGUGUGCACGUGCUGCUGACGCGUCUACUCCUGUUGUGUCCCACUCAGGCCUUUGGGACACAGGGUCUGUCAGUCAUUGUCCAGGCCUUUGCCUUGGUCCUGGUUAAAGAGAUCUGGGAAAUACAAAGGAGCUAAAGGCUCUGACAAGUCCUGCAGGAAAUAGCCCCUUUAAUUUUCUUUAGUUGGUUUAUCUCAAACUCUUUCCACCAGAUGGUCCCUACCCCCAGGGCAUGUGUUGAGACGCAAGCUUAACCUAUACUGAGGGAAUUUAGGCUCCCUCCCAGUGUUUCCUUCUCUACUCCCUGCCUCUGAGGCCAUAAGCCAGUCCCUCCUCUGUGAGCCUCAGUUUCCUCACCUGAACAUGGGAAUAAUCAUCCCGCCUUGUAUUAGCUCUUGGAAAGUUUUGGGGAGCCCAGGAAAGUGAGCAUUUUGAAAAUGGUUGAACGUGAAUCACAUGCUACCUUUCUUUACCUUUUUCAUACCUUCAUUCCCUGAGUCAGAAUACUCAGGAGUGGGCCAACCUGGGCCUCAGCACUGAGGACAGCACUCUUUGGAGGAGGAGCUCUUCUUUUGGAAUUACCCAGCCCCCUCUCACUCCCCCUCCCAACAGUGGCAACACGGGCCUGACCCUGACAUCAUCAUGGAGCCCAGGAAAUGUAUUGUGACCUUGUCUGUCCUUAUAUCCCUGCCUCUCCUUCACCAUGGUACCACCAGCCUAAAUGUCACCACUGGAUCCACGAGUGGGAGGAAUGAGCCAUCCCUGUCAUCUCCACCCCUGUCAUUUCUCAGCCCCACAGCCCCUAUAGAAGUAACAGAAUGGGGAAUGGUGAGGGGAUGCUGCCUUUGCAUAUGUACAGCUUCUUUCAAGAAUUGGCCAGUGUGUCACCCUGAACAACCUGCUUCCCCUUCCCCCAGUAGGGUAUGGUGCCCCUGUGAUGUUCAUAAAUGCUGAGUUCUCUUCUGAGCUAAGUAAGCCCCGAUGAGCCAGACCAGGGAGCCUCGCUGGACAGGGCUGGGGACCCUGCCCCCCUCACCUCCUAGAAGCCCUCCUAGGCCUGCUAAAGACCAGCGUUUGCCAAUGCCCUCCCCCUGACUCUCUGCGGAGCACCUGCGGUUAGAGAGCUCGGAGACGCGGACCAGAGAAGGUCUCAGCAGCUGCCUGGGAUCGAUGCAUGAAGAGAUUCCAGGGCGGUGGUGGAGGAAGGGCCCAAUCCCUGAGAUGACCCAGCGGAGGAAAAACCCGGUCGUCACCAGUUUGCCAAGACUACAAGUCCCAGGAGUCCGAGCGGCAGGCCUUUCCAUUCUUCCCAGAACCACGUUUCCCAGCAGCCAUCGGGAACCUCAUGGAAGUCCUCUCGAAAAAUCCCGCCCCCUUCUCCCAAGUGACAGCAGGGAGAGAGGGAAGGCGGCGCCCCCAAUCUGGCCUGGUUUGAGAUGUUCCUAGCCGUGGGAGACAGACAUACUGUCAUCAAACGUCGGAAAAUAGCUGUCAUGAGACUCCUCACCCCCUGACACUUGACACCUUUCCCUUCCCAGCACCUGAAGCCCUCCUUCCUCAGCGGCAACAAAACCGUAGUUUCUGUUCCUGUUGACUGAGCACAGAAUGCUUCCUAAUCCUCACGCACCCCUGCUGGGGUAGAGAGACUGAACUGCUCAGGGUCCCAGUCAGGGUCAGGAUGUCAGGGUCCGGGUUCAAACUCAGCACUGUGGCGGGAGUCCAGAGGCCAUGCCCUUCCCAACACACACGACCAGCUGUGCUAUGGAUCUCCUGGUUCCCAUUCUUGUCCCUGCAGAAUCAAAUGAAGAAGGGGGGCAAGGUGACAGCCCUACCCCUUUGUCUGUUUCAUUCGCUUCUGUGUCCCUCGCUCCUGAGAUGCGGUCUAUCAUGAAUGAUGCGCCGCCCCACCCUCUGGGUCUUGUGCUGACCCAGACCUUGCCCAGUGUAAUGAAUUAUUCAUUUCUUUGAAAAUGGGGACUUCCCAUGUGCCUCCUCCAGUGGUGGGUGAUGCUGGGGACCCCAGAGGAGUCAUCCCAGGACUCUGAUCUGAAAGAGGCUGCAGGCUGGCCACAGAGAUGGAUAUGGUCAGUGAGCUAUCAAAUUGGUUAUGGCUGUGACAAAGCAGGGACCAGGUGUAAGGGGUAGAGGGGGUGGGCUUGAGAGAUGGAGUUGAAGGCUUUGAUGGGGUCUGUUGGAAGGCCAGGCUGAGGGGCACCGGGGAGCCAUGGGAGGUGUGUGAGCAGAGAAGGGUUAGAGUCAACCCUGAAUGUAGAGGAGUCCCUCUGGGGUCCCCUGGGGGACAGAAAGAGGCCAGGAGAAAGUGAGCAUGAGGGUCCUGGGGAAGAGGAGAAGGCCUGAGUGGGGGCCAGGCCACAGAGAUAGAGAAGAAAGUAUGAAGGAGGGAGGGGCUAGUAGUGGGCUCUAAUCCAGGACACCCUCCCUUGCCUUAUCUCCUUCCAAUCUGGCAGAGCAUGGGACACUAACCUCUCCAUUUCCCACAGCCUGCCACACCCUCCAGGCCUCCCCUGCCGCCAUCCUGGGUCCAGACCCCCUCUUCCGGCAGCCUGCCCUCAACUCUGUACUCCUGUCCUCAGAGGCAAACUUACUGACUUUCAAACUGUGUGACCUUCAGAGCACCUCCAUUUGCUGGUCUAUGAAAUGGGUGUAUUCAUUUCUAAUGGCUGCUGUAACCAAUAUCUAUAAACUUAAAGGCUUAAAACCACAUGAAUCUAUCCUGCACUUCUGGGGGCCCUAAAUUGGGGUGGGUCACUGGGUUCAAGAGGAGAGUCCAUUUCCUUUCCUUCUCUAGUUUCUGAAAUUGCCCUGUUUUGUGGCUCGUGGACCUUGGUCCAUCUUCAGAACCAGCAGGAUUGGUCUCUGGGUCCCUCGCUCUUCUGCCUCCCUCUCCUACUUCCUAGUGACUAUAUGCCCCCCCCAAGAUAAUCCAGGAUCCUCUCCCCAUUUUGACAAAUAGGCUUAAUUUCAUCUGUGGCUUUACUACCCUGCUGCUUCUGCUGGGGCUGGUGGGGAUAGGGGAUCCCAGGCCAGACAUGGUGGAAGUGUGGGUGCUGCUCAGACCACUGGAGCUCACCAUGGGUGGGGCAGGGGAGGGUGAGUAGUGGGUGCUUCAACCCUAUGCGUUACACACCUGGGGACCAGGCCUCCAGGCUAUGCCAGACCCUUGGCAGAACCGAGGGAGAGUGUCUGAGAAGGACAUGGGUGAGAGGUCCAGUCAUCCUGGGAGGACCUGAAGGGAAAUUCCUGGGGGUUGGAGACAGUAUGGGGGAAGGCGGAGGGUAGGGGAGGUCCUAUCUCCUCCAAGCCUGGAAAAUAUGGGGUGUGCAUGUUCAGCAAGAGAUGGAUAUAGGAGAAUGGGGAGGCAGAGAGAGAGAGAGGAGGAGAGAGAGGGACAGAGAUGCAGAGAGGACAGGGAGGAGGGAGACAGAGACCGGGUGGAGGGAGACACAGAAGACCCUGAGAAAGUGGGACAGAGACCCUGAGAGAGGGAUAGACACGCUGGUGGGGGGCGGAGAUGAUGCAGAAGCCCUGAGAAAUGAGGUGAAAUGGAAGAAGAGGUGGAGGGGAGGGGAUGCGUGCAGGUGCAAACGUGAUGAGACUGCGUAGACAUGGGCGUCAGAUGGCAGCCAAAGUAGGGAGGGGAGGUGAGAGGCAGGUCAGGCUGCCAGGAGGGAUCAAGUGGAAGAGGAGACAGAAAAAGAUAUGGAGACAAAGACCCAGUGAGAGACAGGAACACGAAGAGCUCCAGCGAAAGACCGAAAUAGCACCAGCCUCAACCUGAAGAAGAGCGCUCGGGGGAGACAGACGGACAGGGAGACAGACCACGGGCUGUGGGCUUGCAUGUAAAGGCAGGACUGUGGACAUGGCUGAGGAAUUUAGAAUGAGUGUGACCCCCCACAAGCCUGAUUAUCCCAGGACUGAGCGCUUCCUGUGAUCCAGGGCUCUGGGAGCUCAAACUGGAAAGUUCGAUGCAGCCCAGGACGCCUUGGUCCCCCAGAUGGAACAGAGCAACACUGGGACAGCGCUGGGCCACCAGCUUCUCUGGCUCAGCACUGCAUUGGCUAUCAUCAUGCCUGUCUUCUCUCACUGCCCUGGGAAAUGGGCCUCCCCAUCGCCCUUCCGGUGCCCUGCUCUGGGAACAAACUACUUUGUCUUUCUCUUGUUUUCAAACUCCCAAAUAUUGCUAAA